Molecule: ribosomal RNA, 253 nt
Filed under: uncultured bacterium
Lineage: Bacteria
Description: partial 16S ribosomal RNA
Rfam family: Bacterial small subunit ribosomal RNA
Source: RNAcentral
UACGUAGGCAGCGAGCGUUGUUCGGAGUUACUGGGCGUAAAGGGUGUGUAGGCGGUUCUUUAAGUUUGGUGUGAAAUCUCCCGGCUCAACUGGGAGGGUGCGCCGAAUACUGAGGGACUAGAGUACGGGAGAGGAAAGUGGAAUUCCUGGUGUAGCGGUGAAAUGCGUAGAUAUCAGGAAGAACACCAAUGGCGAAGGCAGCUCUCUGGGACGGUACUGACGCUGAGACGCGAAAGCGUGGGGAGCGAACAGG